UACAUAGGGGGCAAGCGUUAUCCGGAAUUAUUGGGUGUAAAGGGUGCGUAGACGGGAAGGCAAGUUGGUUGUGAAAUCCCUCGGCUUAACUGAGGAACUGCAACCAAAACUAUCUUUCUUGAGUGCUGGAGAGGAAAGUGGAAUUCCUAGUGUAGCGGUGAAAUGCGUAGAUAUUAGGAGGAACACCAGUGGCGAGGGCGACUUUCUGGGCAGUAACUGACGUUGAGGCACGAAAGUGUGGGGAGCAAACA
RNAcentral lists this ribosomal RNA (251 nucleotides) under uncultured bacterium. RNAcentral describes it as "partial 16S ribosomal RNA". It matches the Rfam family "Bacterial small subunit ribosomal RNA", at positions 524 to 774 of the family's 1533-position model. The record is from RNAcentral.